GCAGCAGCUGCUUUCGUCCCGAGCCGGAUAACAAGAGGAGGAAGAAAAGCUUUGCCUGAUUUCAAAGUACCGCAGACCUCCGCUGGCAAAGGAGCGCCGGGAGCAGAGCGGCUGCCCCGGCAGGGCAGGCGGCACCGGAGAGGUAACGUGCUUUGGGGGCUUUACUGCUGCUUAGGUGCUUCACAGCGAUGAGCACCUCCAUGCACGAUUUUUUAAGAACUCCUUUAUAUCGACAGUUCAUUCCUCAAAAUGAAGCAGCUGGAAAAACGAGUGAUGAUCACCAGCAUUGACCGUCAAAAUGCAAACGGGGACGAGCCGUCAGCCUUUGGUUGCUGGCACAUACAGAACUGCUGCUGUUGGCUCCUGCAAAGGGUCUUCCACAGCCCUUGAUGUUGUCUCGGGGCCACGGACUUAAGUUCCCAGCAAGGCUCGGUGCGCGCAGUGACCCCCAAGGUGUCCUGAUGCCUCCUUGCUCUCCAUUCCCAGUUCACCCCUGGCUGCAGAGCCCCAGGCGAAGGCCCGUCCUGUCAGCAGCCUCAUAGCAAACAGGUUUCUGCAAGUCCACCUCUCCAACGGGAGCUAUUUUUGCAGCAGAUCCUUCCAAAAUAGAAACCAGAAACAUCGAGCGCCAUCCCCACCCCGGCGAGGCGCCAGCGCAGACCGGCUCCCUACGGCUGCUCGUCCCCGGCCACCAACGCCCAGCGAGAGGGGCUCCGCCGCCGCUCCCGCCGCACCUGGGCCAGCCCCGAGGA
RNAcentral lists this long non-coding RNA (752 nucleotides) under Apteryx owenii (little spotted kiwi). RNAcentral's name for it is "lncRNA (ENSAOWG00000016085.1)". The record is from RNAcentral. Lineage: Eukaryota; Metazoa; Chordata; Aves; Apterygiformes; Apterygidae.